AACAUGUCAUCCAACACGCAACCUGAUAGAGUCGGAGUGCCCGAUCUUUCGGUGAGUGGAGAUAAAUUUGACUUGGUGGAAGUAGACCCUCACGAUCCGACUACGACGAGCGAACCCGAAGCACCAAUGCAAUCACUGAACCAACUCCCUGUGGUUACCAACCUUGCCAGCGCAAGAUCAGCCGGAUCAUGAAGAUCCAUUCCUGUCUGCAAUCGAAGAACGAACAAGAAAAAGAGGCGAGCAAUCUAAAUAUCACUCGAAGGUGGAGUUCUGAAUCACACAAGGACAGCGCGUAUUUGCGUGUGUUCGAGAGUAGCUAAAGCUAGAUGUAAAACAAAACUCAAGUCGUAAACAAAAGGGACUCCGACUAAAUAAAGGGGGCGCAACCCCUGGAGUCCAGAGGAGGCGCCACGGCAAGAGGGGGGCGCGCGCGAGCAGGGGGAGGGCCGUGGCUCCCAACCCUAGGCGCCCCACCUGGGCUACCCUGUUGGGCCAUCUUCUUUUUCCGCUGGGCCUUCGUUCCUUAACAGCAUGAUGAAGUUUAAUUCUCUCGCACGGGCCCGAGUGAUUGGCUCAACUGGAUGAUCAACUGUAGGCGCCAGAGGUGGAGGAGCAACUGGAGGCGCCUGAGGUGCUACUGGUGUAGAUGUACUCGUGGUGUCCUCAUCAGGAACAAGGACAACAUGG
RNAcentral lists this long non-coding RNA (687 nucleotides) under Setaria viridis. RNAcentral's name for it is "long non-coding RNA (SVIR_LNC006886)". The record is from RNAcentral. Lineage: Eukaryota; Viridiplantae; Streptophyta; Magnoliopsida; Poales; Poaceae.